UACGUAGGGGGCGAGCGUUGUCCGGAAUUACUGGGCGUAAAGAGAGCGUAGGCGGCACUACAAGUCUCAUGUGAAAUACCCGGGCUUAACUUGGGGGUUGCAUGGGAAACUGUAGAGCUUGAGUACAGGAGAGGCAAGCGGAAUUCCUAGUGUAGAGGUGAAAUGCAUAGAUAUUAGGAGGAACACCAGUGGCGAAGGCGGCUUGCUGGACUGAAACUGACGCUGAGGCUCGAAAGCGUGGGGAGCAAACAGG
RNAcentral lists this ribosomal RNA (253 nucleotides) under uncultured bacterium. RNAcentral's name for it is "partial 16S ribosomal RNA". It matches the Rfam family "Bacterial small subunit ribosomal RNA", at positions 524 to 776 of the family's 1533-position model. The record is from RNAcentral.